CAAUAGCGUAUAUUAAAGCUGUUGCGGUUAAAAAGCUCGUAGUUGGAUUUCUGACAAGGACAACUGGUCCGCCCUCCGGGUGAGCACAUAGUUUGGUCUUGGCAUCUUGCUGGAAACUGUUGCUGCGCUUGGUUGUGUGGUGCAGCUUUCAGCACUUUCACUUUGAGGAAAUUGGAGUGUUUCAAGCAGGCACAUGCCUUUGGACACAGUAGCAUGGAAUAAUUAGAUUGGGCUUUUGCUCCAACUUGUUGGUUCCUGGAGCUGAGGUGAGAAUCAAUGGGGAUUGUUGGGGGCAUCCGAAUUUAGCCGUCAGAGGUGAAAUUCUUGGAUCUGCUAAAGACGGACAACUGCGAAAGCGUUUGCCCAGGAUGUUUUCAUUGA
Molecule: ribosomal RNA, 381 nt
Filed under: uncultured eukaryote
Lineage: Eukaryota
Description: partial 18S ribosomal RNA
Rfam family: Eukaryotic small subunit ribosomal RNA
Source: RNAcentral